CAGACCCUCAAAAGUCUUUUAAA
Molecule: transfer RNA, 23 nt
Filed under: Eleutherodactylus schmidti (Schmidt's robber frog)
Lineage: Eukaryota; Metazoa; Chordata; Amphibia; Anura; Eleutherodactylidae
Description: partial tRNA-Phe
Source: RNAcentral